GAUGAAGAACGCAGCGAAAUGCGAUAAGUAGUGUGAAUUGCAGAUUUCAGUGAAUCAUCGAAUCUUUGAACGCACAUUGCGCCCGCUAGUAUUCUGGCGGGCAUGCCUGUCCGAGCGUCAUUUCAACCCUCAAGCCCCCGGGCUUGGUGUUGGGGAUCGGCGAGCCUCCGCGCCCGCCGUCCCCUAAAUCUAGUGGCGGUCUCGCUGUAGCUUCCUCUGCGUAGUAGCACACCUCGCACUGGGAAACAGCGCGGCCACGCCGUUAAACCCCCAACUUCUGAACGUUUGACCUCGGAUCAGGUAGGAAUACCCGCUGAACUUAAGCAUAUCAAUAAGCGGAGGA
This 343-nucleotide unclassified non-coding RNA is filed under the name soil metagenome. RNAcentral describes it as "partial contains 5.8S ribosomal RNA, internal transcribed spacer 2, and large subunit ribosomal RNA". The stretch from base 1 to 120 matches the Rfam family "5.8S ribosomal RNA", at positions 35 to 154 of the family's 154-position model. The record is from RNAcentral.